RNAcentral lists this ribosomal RNA (497 nucleotides) under uncultured bacterium. RNAcentral describes it as "partial 16S ribosomal RNA". It matches the Rfam family "Bacterial small subunit ribosomal RNA", at positions 28 to 507 of the family's 1533-position model. The record is from RNAcentral.
GAUGAACGCUGGCGGCGUGCCUAAUACAUGCAAGUCGAGCGAACAGACGAGGAGCUUGCUCCUCUGACGUUAGCGGCGGACGGGUGAGUAACACGUGGAUAACCUACCUAUAAGACUGGGAUAACUUCGGGAAACCGGAGCUAAUACCGGAUAACAUGUUGAACCGCAUGGUUCAACAGUGAAAGACGGUCUUGCUGUCACUUAUAGAUGGAUCCGCGCCGCAUUAGCUAGUUGGUAAGGUAACGGCUUACCAAGGCAACGAUGCGUAGCCGACCUGAGAGGGUGAUCGGCCACACUGGAACUGAGACACGGUCCAGAGUCCUACGGGAGGCAGCAGUAGGGAAUCUUCCGCAAUGGGCGAAAGCCUGACGGAGCAACGCCGCGUGAGUGAAGAAGGUCUUCGGAUCGUAAAACUCUGCUAUUAGGGAAGAACAAAUGUGUAAGUAACUAUGCACGUCUUGACGGUACCUAAUCAGAAAGCCACGGCUAACUACGUG